GGGUUUGUAGCUCAGUGGAUAGAGCGUCUGUCUCCGGAACAGAAGGUUCCGGGUGCACUCUCUGUCGGAGUUACCGGCCAGCCCUA
This 86-nucleotide transfer RNA is filed under the name Bifidobacterium longum subsp. infantis. RNAcentral's name for it is "tRNA-Arg". It matches the Rfam family "tRNA". From Rfam's summary of the family: Transfer RNA (tRNA) molecules are approximately 80 nucleotides in length. Their secondary structure includes four short double-helical elements and three loops (D, anti-codon, and T loops). Lineage: Bacteria; Bacillati; Actinomycetota; Actinomycetes; Bifidobacteriales; Bifidobacteriaceae. The record is from RNAcentral. RNAcentral also lists the same sequence under 1 other name.